GAUGAACGCUAGCGGCAGGCCUAAUACAUGCAAGUCGAACGGUGUCUUCGGACAUAGUGGCGCACGGGUGCGUAACACGUAUGCAACCUACCUUACAUUGGGGGAUAGCCUUUCGAAAGGGAGAUUAAUACCGCAUAAGACAGUAGCUGGGCAUCCAGCAGCUGUUAAAGAUUUAUCGAUGUAAGCUGGGCAUGCGUCCAAUUAGCUAGUUGGCAGGGUAACGGCCUACCAAGACGAUGAUCAGUAGGGGGCGUCAGAGCGUGGUCCCCCACACUGGCACUGAGAUACGGGCCAGACUCCUACGGGAGGCAGCAGUAGGGAAUAUUGGGCAAUGGAUGCAAGUCUGACCCAGCCAUGCCGCGUGCAGGAAGAAGGUCCUCUGGAUUGUAAAACUGCUUUUAUUCGGGGAAGGAAUAGUUUUCUUUGCGAGGGAAUGUGACGGUACCCGAUGAAUAAGCCACGGCUAACUAACGUGCCAGCAGCCGG
RNAcentral lists this ribosomal RNA (486 nucleotides) under uncultured bacterium. Its description in RNAcentral is "bacterial SSU rRNA". It matches the Rfam family "Bacterial small subunit ribosomal RNA", at positions 28 to 518 of the family's 1533-position model. The record is from RNAcentral.